Molecule: ribosomal RNA, 520 nt
Filed under: uncultured Glomus
Lineage: Eukaryota; Fungi; Glomeromycota; Glomeromycetes; Glomerales; Glomeraceae
Description: SSU rRNA
Rfam family: Eukaryotic small subunit ribosomal RNA
Source: RNAcentral
AGCAGCCGCGGUAAUUCCAGCUCCAAUAGCGUAUAUUAAAGUUGUUGCAGUUAAAAAGCUCGUAGUUGAAUUUCGGGGUUAGUAGGUUGGUCGUGCCACUGGUAUGUACUGGCUUUACUGAUCCCUCCUUCUUGUAGAACCGUAAUGCCAUUAACUUGGUGUUGCGGGGAAACAGGACUGUUACUUUGAAAAAAUUAGAGUGUUUAAAGCAGGCUAACGCUUGAAUACAUUAGCAUGGAAUAAUGAAAUAGGACGCUCGAUCCUAUUUUGUUGGUUUCUAGGAUUGACGUAAUGAUUAAUAGGGAUAGUUGGGGGCAUUAGUAUUCAAUUGUCAGAGGUGAAAUUCUUGGAUUUAUUGAAGACUAACUACUGCGAAAGCAUUUGCCAAGGAUGUUUUCAUUAAUCAAGAACGAAAGUUAGGGGAUCGAAGACGAUCAGAUACCGUCGUAGUCUUAACCAUAAACUAUGCCGACUAGGGAUCGGAUGAUGUUAAUUUUUUAAUGACUCAUUCGGCGCCUUA